CCAGACUCCUACGGGAGGCAGCAGUGGGGAAUAUUGCACAAUGGGGGAAACCCUGAUGCAGCGACGCCGCGUGAAGGACGAAGUAUUUCGGUACGUAAACUUCUAUCAGCAGGGAAGAAAAUGACGGUACCUGACCAAGAAGCCCCGGCUAACUACGUGCCAGCAGCCGCGGUAAUACGUAGGGGGCAAGCGUUAUCCGGAUUUACUGGGUGUAAAGGGAGCGUAGACGGCAGCACAAGUCUGGAGUGAAAUGCCGGGGCUUAACCCCGGAACUGCUUUGGAAACUGUGCAGCUGGAGUGCAGGAGAGGUAAGCGGAAUUCCUAGUGUAGCGGUGAAAUGCGUAGAUAUUAGGAGGAACACCAGAGGCGAAGGCGACUCACUGGACUGUAACUGACGCUGAGGCUCGAAAGCGUGGGGAGCAAACAGGAUUAGAUACCCCGGUAAGG
This 447-nucleotide ribosomal RNA is filed under the name uncultured bacterium. RNAcentral's name for it is "bacterial SSU rRNA". It matches the Rfam family "Bacterial small subunit ribosomal RNA", at positions 331 to 793 of the family's 1533-position model. The record is from RNAcentral.